UUCCAGACACUGUCAAGUUGAUAAUCGACAC
Molecule: non-coding RNA, 31 nt
Filed under: Mus musculus (house mouse)
Lineage: Eukaryota; Metazoa; Chordata; Mammalia; Rodentia; Muridae
Source: RNAcentral